This 82-nucleotide transfer RNA is filed under the name Melampsora larici-populina 98AG31. Its description in RNAcentral is "tRNA-Ser (AGA) (tRNA-Ser-AGA-4-1)". It matches the Rfam family "tRNA". Rfam says of the family: Transfer RNA (tRNA) molecules are approximately 80 nucleotides in length. Their secondary structure includes four short double-helical elements and three loops (D, anti-codon, and T loops). The record is from RNAcentral. Lineage: Eukaryota; Fungi; Basidiomycota; Pucciniomycetes; Pucciniales; Melampsoraceae.
GACGGGAUGGCCGAGUGGUUAAGGCGGCAGUUUAGAAAGCUGCUUCACUUUGUGAGUGUGAGUUCAAAUCUCACUUCUGUUG